RNAcentral lists this ribosomal RNA (439 nucleotides) under uncultured bacterium. RNAcentral's name for it is "partial 16S ribosomal RNA". It matches the Rfam family "Bacterial small subunit ribosomal RNA", at positions 339 to 795 of the family's 1533-position model. The record is from RNAcentral.
CUACGGGCUGCUGCAGUGAGGAAUAUUGCACAAUGGGGGGAACCCUGAUGCAGCAACGCCGCGUGGAGGAUGACGCAUUUCGGUGUGUAAACUCCUUUUAUAUGUCAAGAAAAUGACGGUAGCAUAUGAAUAAGCACCGGCUAACUCCGUGCCAGCAGCCGCGGUAAUACGGAGGGUGCAAGCGUUACUCGGAAUCACUGGGCGUAAAGGACGCGUAGGCGGGUUGGAAAGUCAGGUGUGAAAUCCUACAGCUUAACGGUAGAACUGCACUUGAAACUUCUAAUCUAGAGUAUGGGAGGGGGAGAUGGAAUUAGUGGUGGAGGGGUAAAAUCCGUAGAUAUCACUAGGAAUACCGAAAGCGAAGGCGAUCUCCUGGAACAUUACUGACGCUAAGGCGUGAAAGCGUGGGGAGCAAACAGGAUUAGAUACCCCAGUAGUC